AAAUUCCUGGGAAGGAAUGCCGAAGAAUGUGAAAGCCAUGUAAGCGAAAAUGGAAAAGGGACAGGCAGCACCAGAGUACCGCGGGACACGAGAAACCCCGUGGGAAGCCGGGGGGACCACCCUCCAAGGCAAAACACAGAUAUCGACCGAUAGCGCAUAGUACCAUGAGGGAAAGGUGAAAAGCACCCCGGGAGGGGAAUGAAAGAGAACCUGAAACCGUAUGUUUACAAGCAGUCGAAGACCGCUUAAUAAUAAGGUCAACGGCGUGCCUAUUGAAGAAUGAACCGGCGAGUUACUUCGUCCAGCGAGGUUAAGCAGGAAAUGCGGAGCCGCAGCGAAAGCGAGUCUGAAGAGGGCGAGAAGUUGGAGGGAGUAGACCCGAAACCACAGUGAUCUACCCAUGUCCAGGUUGAAGCACAGGUAAAAAUGUGUGGAGGACCGAACCAGUGAGCGUUGAAAAGCUUUUGGAUGAGAUGUGGGUAGGGGUGAAAUGCCAAUCGAACGUGGAGAUAGCUGGUUCUCCCCGAAAUAGCUUUAGGGCUAGCCUCGAGGUAGAGAUUGCAGGCGGUAGAGCACUGAUCAGGAGAGGGGCCUACCCGGCUACCAAACCCAGUCAAACUACGAAUGGCUGCAAUUAUACUCGGGAGUCAGACUACGACUUAUAAGGGCCGUGGUCAAAAGGGAAACAGCCCAGAUCAUCAGCUAAGGUCCCAAAUGCCGUGCUAAGUGGCGAAGGAUGUGGCGUUUCAUAAACAACCAGGAUGUUGGCUCAGAAGCAGCCACCAUUUAAAGAGUGCGUAAUAGCUCACUGGUCGAGAGACGCUGCGCCGAAAAUGUCCGGGGCUCAAGCACGGAACCGAAGCUAUGGCAUGAUAGCAAUAUCAUGGGUAGGGGAGCGUUCUUAUAAGGAAGAAGCAUGACCGGAAGGACAUGUGGACAAAUAAGAAGUGAGAAUGCCGGUAUGAGUAUCGAAAAGAAAGGUGAGAAUCCUUUCCACCGAAAGCCCGAGGGUUCCUGAGCAACGAUCGUCGUCUCAGGGUAAGUCGGGACCUAAGCCGAGGCGGAAAAGCGUAGGCGAUGGACAACAGGUUGAAAUUCCUGUACCGGUGUGAAUCGUUUGAUCGAUGGAGUGACACAGUAAGGUAGGUCAGCACGCGAUUGGAAGAGCGUGUUUAAGCAGGUAGGUUGAGCUAUAGGCAAAUCCGUAGCUCUAAAAGCUGAGAUGUGAUGACGAGUUACUAGCGAUAGUAACGAAGUGAUUGAUCCUACACUGUCGAGAAAAGCUUCUAGGUAGAGACACAUCGCCCGUACCAAAACCGACACAGGUAGGCGGGGAGAGAAUCCUAAGGUGCGCGGGAAAACCCUCGUUAAGGAACUCGGCAAAUUGCAUCCGUAACUUAGGGAGAAGGAUGACCUUAAGUAAGCGAAAGGGAGAAACCCCUGGAACAGAACAAGGUGGCAGAAAAGAGGCCCAAGCAACUGUUUACCAAAAACACAGGUGCCUGCGAAAGCGAAAGCUGAAGUAUAGGUGCUGACGCCUGCCCGGUGCCGGAAGGUUAAGGAGAGAAGUUAGCGAAAGCGAAGCAUCGAACUGAAGCCCCGGUGAACGGCGGCCGUAACUAUAACGGUCCUAAGGUAGCGAAAUUCCUUGUCGGGUAAG
This 1660-nucleotide ribosomal RNA is filed under the name human gut metagenome. RNAcentral describes it as "bacterial LSU rRNA". It matches the Rfam family "Bacterial large subunit ribosomal RNA", at positions 336 to 1980 of the family's 2925-position model. The record is from RNAcentral.